RNAcentral lists this non-coding RNA (29 nucleotides) under Mus musculus (house mouse). The record is from RNAcentral. Lineage: Eukaryota; Metazoa; Chordata; Mammalia; Rodentia; Muridae.
UGGGCUUUGCUAUUACAGUCGGUCAGAGA